CCUACGGGUGGCAGCAGUGGGGGAUAUUGCACAAUGGGGGAAACCCUGAUGCAGCGACGCCGCGUGUGGGAAGACGGUCCUCUGGAUUGUAAACCACUGUCCCCAGGGACGAAGAUGACGGUACCUGGGGAGGAAGCUCCGGCUAACUACGUGCCAGCAGCCGCGGUAAUACGUAGGGAGCGAGCGUUGUCCGGAAUUACUGGGUGAAAAGGGAGCGUAGGCGGGGAUGCAAGUUGGGUGGCAAAACUACCGGCUCAACUGGUAGUCGCACUCAAAACUGCAGCUCUUGAGUGAAGUAGAGGCAGGCGGAAUUCCUAGUGUAGCGGUGAAAUGCGUAGAGAUUAGGAGGAACACCAGUGGCGAAGGCGGCCUGCUGGACUUUUACUGACGCUGAGGCGCGAAAGUGUGGGGAGCAAACAGGAUUAGAUACCCUUGUAGUC
This 440-nucleotide ribosomal RNA is filed under the name uncultured bacterium. RNAcentral describes it as "partial 16S ribosomal RNA". It matches the Rfam family "Bacterial small subunit ribosomal RNA", at positions 338 to 795 of the family's 1533-position model. The record is from RNAcentral.